This is a long non-coding RNA of Nilaparvata lugens (brown planthopper), 1035 nucleotides long. RefSeq lists it as uncharacterized. The transcript is spliced from 3 exons. Lineage: Eukaryota; Metazoa; Arthropoda; Insecta; Hemiptera; Delphacidae. The record is from RefSeq and is a predicted model, not a curated record.
UUGUGGUUUUCAAAGAAUAAUACACUUGGAAAGUGAAAAUCGUUAUUCAGAUUCCUUAUUCGAAAUAAGAAUGUGGAACAUAAUACAGUCUCAAUUUCAACAUUAGAUUGUAAACGCUAUUACUGUUUUUAAAACAAGAUAAUUCUUCAAGAGAUUCUGCGAAAAUUGAUCAGGAAUUUCUUCAAAUGAAGCUUUUAAUGUUGCCUCAGGACUUUCUCGAAGACCAUCCCGAACUGAUGAUAAGAGUCUAACAAAAUUCGCAACCUGGAUGCUCUUGGUGGAGAAAGUUGAAGUGAUCCGUGUCCUGAGAAAGGGUGCCCCAAAAACCUUGGAUUUUCGUCAAAUCGAGCCUUCGGACAGAAAAAGUCACUCUUGUCUGGGCGUAAUUUUGUGUUCUACAGCAUGAGACCAGGUAGACCGUUCAAUCUCAGAUAGAUUUCCAGGUACACCUAAUAACAAUGUUCCUUGUAUUUCGAAAACAUUGAGAUUUUGCACUAUGAUAUAGGUUUCUAAGAUCAUGUUCGACCAGAAUUACUCUUUAAAUGCACUUCAUUUCAGUAUUUACUAGUGGAUAGGCGCGCAUAAGCUCACCUCAAGGAUCAGAAUUUCAAACAUUCACAACUUUUGACACAAUGAUCGGAUCUUCUAAUUGCUAUGUUUGACCCAGUGGCUGACAUAGUAUAACCAAUUAGCUGAUAUUGGGUGUCAGCUAUUGGAAAAUAUAAAUCAAUAGCAUUGAAAUGAAUAUGAAUGUGAAAUCACUCUCAUUAAUGAGUUGUUAUUGCGGAUGAAAUUAGCAUUAAUUGGUUUUAACACAGUCCCUAGAUGUCACUAUGCGUCAGCUACUGGUGACAAGGUCUAUAGAAAUAGUUAAGGUUUUAUAGACCUUGACUGGUGAAUGUGCUGAAAACAAAAUAAAUUUUGUUUUGUUAUUGUUUCAAAAUAAUUAUUACUUCAUAAUAUUUUAGGAUACACUCAACUUGAAGUUUUCUUAAGAAAUUCUUUAGACCAAUGGAUGAUUUUCGAGAAUUUUUA